GACGAACGCUGGCGGCGUGCUUAACACAUGCAAGUCGAACGGUGAACUCCGCUUUCGGUGGGGUCCUUGAGUAGCGAACGGGUAACACACAGGCGACUUACCUUCCCUUCAGUGUUGGCUCACAUCAGGAGGGUGUGAUUCAGACCGGAACGGAUCACCUCCUGCAUUGUGGGGGGUGGAAAUUUUCGGCGGGUGGGGAUGGACCCGCGGCUUAUCAGCUUGUUGGUGGGGUAGUGGCUUACCAAGGCUUCGACGGGUAGCCGGCCUGAGAGGGUGACCGGCCACACUGGGACUGAGAUACGGCCCAGACUCCUACGGGAGGCAGCAGUGGGGAAUAUUGCGCAAUGGGCGGAAGCCUGAUGCAGCGACGCCGCGUGCGGGAUGACGGCCUUCGGGUUGUAAACCGCUUUCGGCAGGGACGAAGCGAAAGUGACGGUAACGGGAGAAGAAGCACCGGCUAACUACGUG
This 468-nucleotide ribosomal RNA is filed under the name uncultured bacterium. RNAcentral's name for it is "partial 16S ribosomal RNA". It matches the Rfam family "Bacterial small subunit ribosomal RNA", at positions 28 to 507 of the family's 1533-position model. The record is from RNAcentral.